UUCCGGUUGAUCCUGCCGGACCUGACUGCUAUCGGAUUGAUACUAAGCCAUGCGAGUCUUUGCAGUAAUGCAAGGCAUACGGCUCAGUAACACGUAGUCAACUUACCCUAUGGACGAGGAUAAUCUCGGGAAACUGAGCAUAAUACUCGAUAGAUCAUAAUGCCUGGAAUGGUUUAUGGUUGAAAUGAUUCGUCGCCAUAGGAUGGGACUGCGGCCUAUCAGCUUGUUGGUGAGGUAAUGGCCCACCAAGGCGAUUACAGGUACGGGCUCUGAGAGGAGAAGCCCGGAGAUGGGUACUGAGACAAGGACCCAGGCCCUAUGGGGCGCAGCAGGCGAGAAAACUUUGCAAUGUGCGAAAGCACGACAAGGUUAAUCCGAGUGAUUUCUGCUAAAGAAAUCUUUUGCAAGUCAUAACACCACUAGUGAAUAAGGGGUGGGCAAGUUCUGGUGUCAGCCGCCGCGGUAAAACCAGCACCUCAAGUGGUCAGGAGGAUUAUUGGGCCUAAAGCAUCCGUAGCCGGCUCUGUAAGUUUUCGGUUAAAUCUAUGUGCUCAACGCAUAGGCUGCCGAAAAUACUGCAUAGCUAGGGAGUGGGAGAGGUAGACGGUACUCGGUAGGAAGGGGUAAAAUCCUUUGAUCUAUUGAUGACCACCUGUGGCGAAGGCGGUCUACCAGAACACGUUCGACGGUGAGGGAUGAAAGCUGGGGGAGCAAACCGGAUUAGAUACCCGGGUAGUCCCAGCUGUAAACGAUGCAGACUCGAUGAUGCAUUGGCAUAUAGCCAGUGCAGUGUCGCAGGGAAGCCGUUAAGUCUGCCGCCUGGGAAGUACGUACGCAAGUAUGAAACUUAAAGGAAUUGGCGGGGGAGCACCACAAGGGGUGAAGCCUGCGGUUCAAUUGGAGUCAACGCCGGG
This 914-nucleotide ribosomal RNA is filed under the name uncultured marine archaeon. RNAcentral describes it as "bacterial SSU rRNA". It matches the Rfam family "Archaeal small subunit ribosomal RNA", at positions 1 to 922 of the family's 1478-position model. The record is from RNAcentral.